UUUCUCAAACAGAGGAGGUUGCGGCAAUAACAGGUCUGUGAUGCCCUCAGAUGUCCCGGGCUGCACACGUGCUACAAUGAGUGGCGCAAUGUGCUAAUGUUUAAGGGAUAAGAGUGUGGUCAGUAGAACGUCGGGAUUUCCCCUGACGUCUCCCCCGCACGAUUAUCAGCCUUCCCUUAACAGGGCGGGCAACCUUUUCAAAAUACUGGUUUGAUGUUAAAGUAUUGAGUCGUUUUUUUUGGAUGGUGGUUUGUUAACCAAUACCAUCCGGCAACUGCUCGCGAGUUUGUGGUUCUGGCGACUCAUGGUGGGGACCGACGUUUGUAAUUUUUUGUCGCGUGUAACUAGGAAUGCCUUGUACUGUCGAUUCACUAAGUUACUGGGAAUACGUCCCUGCCCUUUGUACACACCGCCCGU
This 417-nucleotide ribosomal RNA is filed under the name Globigerinoides ruber. Its description in RNAcentral is "partial 18S ribosomal RNA". It matches the Rfam family "Eukaryotic small subunit ribosomal RNA", at positions 1426 to 1676 of the family's 1831-position model. The record is from RNAcentral. Lineage: Eukaryota; Foraminifera; Rotaliida; Globigerinidae.